Molecule: ribosomal RNA, 469 nt
Filed under: uncultured bacterium
Lineage: Bacteria
Description: partial 16S ribosomal RNA
Rfam family: Bacterial small subunit ribosomal RNA
Source: RNAcentral
GACGAACGCUGGCGGCGUGCUUAACACAUGCAAGUCGAACGGAAAGGCCCUCCUUUUGUGGGGUGCUCGAGUGGCGAACGGGUGAGUAACACGUGAGUAACCUGCCCUUGACUUUGGGAUAACUUCAGGAAACUGGGGCUACUACCGCAUAGGAGCUACUGCUGCAUGGUGGUGGUUGGAAAGUUUCGGCGGUUGGGGAUGGACUCGCGGCUUAUCAGCUUGUUGGUGGGGUAGUGGCUUACCAAGGCUUUGACGGGUAGCCGGCCUGAGAGGGUGACCGGCCACAUUGGGACUGUGAUGCGGCCCAGACUCCUACGGGAGGCAGCAGUGGGGAAUCUUGCCCAAUGGGCGGAAGCCUGAUGCAGCAACGCCGCGUGCGGGAUGACGGCCUUCGGGUUGGAAGCCGCUUUCGCCUGUGACGAAGCGUGAGUGCCGGUAAGGGGUAAAGAAGCGCCGGCUAACUACGUGC